This 1054-nucleotide unclassified non-coding RNA is filed under the name Hevea brasiliensis (rubber tree). The record is from RNAcentral. Lineage: Eukaryota; Viridiplantae; Streptophyta; Magnoliopsida; Malpighiales; Euphorbiaceae.
UGCAAAUGGAAUGCCACUCCAUUUCACAAAAGGACUAGUUUCAUGAAAUCCAAGUUGUAUGCCAAGUGAAAGCACACAAAAAAAAAUCAAAAUUGUUGCUAUAAUGCCUCCAGCUGAAAGGUAUGAGAGGAUGCGAAUAUCUUUUAACCAAACAGUUGGCAAAACAAUAAUGCUAGUUAGAAUUCCAAAAAAGUGCAUAGAGUCAAGAUAAAAGACUCCCAAGUCCAAAGAUGUUCCAGGAAAUAGGCUACUAAGAUUGUCACCCUCUAAAAUAAUAACUUCCACACAAUAUGAAUAUAACUCCAUAUAUAGAAUAAUAGAUAUAAUAAGACGUCCAUAUAUCCCGAAAGCAGCUUCUCCCAUGUCUGGUGAGGUUAUGAUGCUUUCGUUGCUCUCAAAGCAAUGCCUCAUUAGAUUGGCUGUGUAACAGCACAAAAUUGCAAAAACAGCCAAUACUACCAAACUUGCCCAACCAGCUUCUUUCACAGUAUAAGGUAUAGAAAGCAGAGCAAUUCCCAGGAAUACAUUAACCACUGAUAUAUUGAGUAAAUUUAUAUUGUUUACUAUUUUUAAAAUAUAUAUGAAGUCAAGAGAAGCUCAAAGAUCUCAAAAAUGGUAUUAUGGCUUACAAUUGAAGAUAGUUUCUGUGAAGCUACAUCCAUGAGGAAUGGGUGAUUCAUUAUCAGAAAAAGAAGCUUUUGAGAAUAGUUGUAUGGUUGAGAACUUGUUCAAGUCUUCCUCCUUUUCAUAAUUUGACAACAAAGGGGACUUUAUAUCCUGGUUUAACUUACUCUUGCUUAGUCCAAGAAACUUCAAACACUGCAACCAAUGCUUAGAAGAGAAAAUGCCACAUAGUACACCAUUCACAGCCUCUACUUUGGUGGUGCUACUGAUUGUGCCACCAUUGCAAUUGUGGCUACCAACCUCAAACAUGUUCACUUCUAGUAUCUCUUCAUCAUCCUCCAAGAAGAAAUCUACUAUUUCUUUCUCCUUAUCCUUUUUUUCCAUUGAUGACAUAGCUGGGAAAAAUUCAAGAAAAUUGGUUGUGAAAUUG